GAGUUUGAUCAUGGCUCAGAACGAACGCUGGCGGCAUGCCUAACACAUGCAAGUCGAACGAAGUCUUCGGACUUAGUGGCGCACGGGUGCGUAACGCGUGGGGAUCUGCCCUUGGGUACGGAAUAACUCAGAGAAGUUUGUGCUAAUACCGUAUAAUGUCUUCGGACCAAAGAUUUAUCGCCCAAGGAUGAGCCCGCGUAAGAUUAGCUAGUUGGUGAGGUAAGAGCUCACCAAGGCGACGAUCUUUAGCUGGUCUGAGAGGAUGAUCAGCCACACUGGGACUGGGACACGGCCCAGACUCCUACGGGAGGCAGCAGUGGGGAAUAUUGGACAAUGGGCGAAAGCCUGAUCCAGCAAUGCCGCGUGAGUGAUGAAGGCCUUAGGGUUGUAAAGCUCUUUUACCCGGGAUGAUAAUGACAGUACCGGGAGAAUAAGCUCCGGCUAACUCCGUGCCAGCAGCCGCGGUAAG
RNAcentral lists this ribosomal RNA (469 nucleotides) under uncultured microorganism. Its description in RNAcentral is "bacterial SSU rRNA". It matches the Rfam family "Bacterial small subunit ribosomal RNA", at positions 9 to 524 of the family's 1533-position model. The record is from RNAcentral.